AAAUAUGCUAUAAAACCCAGGAUAACAUGUUGGGGUACAUUGCAGUGGAUGAAUAGCCCUCCAGAUGGUGGGCUUUAAAGAAGGAUGACCCUGGAAUGACUCCUUCAGCACCUGGAAGUCUAAUCAAUGGGCAGAAGGAAGGGAAUACACCAAUGCCAACUUGGUUUCAGUGAACCCAGUGGCAAAUGUCUGGUCUUAGUAUUCUGGACAAAGUCAGAAGUCCACUAGACUUUUACAAAGACAAAGCUGGUGAUAUAUCUAGGCACAAGCCUGAAUUUCUCAUAGGAACAGAGGCCCACAAGUUAAACAAACAAACAAACAAACUAAGCAUCACUAUGUUCUGAUGAUUGCAUCUAAUCUCUAGUCCAUUCCUGCACCUACGCUGCUAAAGGUAAGGCACUUGCUGAUCUAAAUCUCAGUCUUGAUCUCACAAGAAAUGU
This 440-nucleotide long non-coding RNA is filed under the name Pogona vitticeps (central bearded dragon). RNAcentral describes it as "lncRNA (ENSPVIG00000021835.1)". Lineage: Eukaryota; Metazoa; Chordata; Lepidosauria; Squamata; Agamidae. The record is from RNAcentral.